GGUCAACGUUGGGUCAAGAGUGGACAUUGGGUCAAGAACGGUCAGCGUUGGGUCAAGAACGGACAUUGGGCCAAGAGCGGUCAUCGUUGGGUCAAGAGAGGUCAACGUUGGGUCAAGAGUGGACAUUGAGCCAAGACCGGUCACCAUUGGGUCACGACCGGACAUUGGACCAAGACCGGUCACCAUUGGGUCAUGACCGGUCAUCAUUGACCUUGGACCA
This 220-nucleotide long non-coding RNA is filed under the name Zonotrichia albicollis (white-throated sparrow). RNAcentral describes it as "lncRNA (ENSZALG00000000629.1)". Lineage: Eukaryota; Metazoa; Chordata; Aves; Passeriformes; Passerellidae. The record is from RNAcentral.